Non-coding RNA from Picea glauca (white spruce), 123 nucleotides. Lineage: Eukaryota; Viridiplantae; Streptophyta; Pinopsida; Pinales; Pinaceae. The record is from Rfam.
AUUUAAAUUCCUACAACAUAUCAUUAAUGAACUGGAUCCCAUUAGAACUCCUCAGUUAAUCAUGGUUGGGGUAGAGUAAUACUGGGAUGGGUGACUGCCUAGGAAGUCCUUGUGUUUUGCAUG